AUUGAACGCUGGCGGCAUGCUUUACACAUGCAAGUCGGACGGCAGCACAGAGAAGCUUGCUUCUUGGGUGGCGAGUGGCGAACGGGUGAGUAACAUAUCGGAACGUACCGGGCAGUGGGGGAUAACUAAUCGAAAGAUUAGCUAAUACCGCAUAUCUUCUGAGGAAGAAAGCAGGGGACCAUUUGGCCUUGCGCUGUUUGAGCGGCCGAUAUCUGAUUAGCUAGUUGGUGGGGUAAAGGCCUACCAAGGCGACGAUCAGUAGCGGGUCUGAGAGGAUGAUCCGCCACACUGGGACUGAGACACGGCCCAGACUCCUACGGGAGGCAGCAGUGGGGAAUUUUGGACAAUGGGCGCAAGCCUGAUCCAGCCAUGCCGCGUGUCUGAAGAAGGCCUUCGGGUUGUAAAGGACUUUUGUCAGGGAAGAAAAGGGCGGGGUUAAUACCCCUGUCUGAUGACGGUACCUGAAGAAUAAGCACCGGCUAACUACGUGCCAGCAGCCGCGGUAAUACGUAGGGUGCGAGCGUUAAUCGGAAUUACUGGGCGUAAAGCGGGCGCAGACGGUUACUUAAGCAGGAUGUGAAAUCCCCGGGCUCAACCUGGGAACUGCGUUCUGAACUGGGUGACUAGAGUGUGUCAGAGGGAGGUAGAAUUCCACGUGUAGCAGUGAAAUGCGUAGAGAUGUGGAGGAAUACCGAUGGCGAAGGCAGCCUCCUGGGAUAACACUGACGUUCAUGCCCGAAAGCGUGGGUAGCAAACAGG
RNAcentral lists this ribosomal RNA (759 nucleotides) under uncultured Neisseria sp. Its description in RNAcentral is "bacterial SSU rRNA". It matches the Rfam family "Bacterial small subunit ribosomal RNA", at positions 28 to 776 of the family's 1533-position model. Lineage: Bacteria; Pseudomonadati; Pseudomonadota; Betaproteobacteria; Neisseriales; Neisseriaceae. The record is from RNAcentral.